RNAcentral lists this ribosomal RNA (492 nucleotides) under uncultured bacterium. Its description in RNAcentral is "partial 16S ribosomal RNA". It matches the Rfam family "Bacterial small subunit ribosomal RNA", at positions 29 to 507 of the family's 1533-position model. The record is from RNAcentral.
AGUGAACGCUGGCGGUAGGCCUAACACAUGCAAGUCGAACGGCAGCACAGUAAGAGCUUGCUCUUACGGGUGGCGAGUGGCGGACGGGUGAGGAGUACAUCGGCUUCUACUUUUUCUUGGGGGAUAACGUAGGGACACUUACGCUACUACCUCAUACGACCUACGGGUGGAAGCAGUGGAUCUUCGCACCUUUCGCGUUUGUAUUAGCCGAUGUCGGAUUAGCUAGUUGGCGGGGUAAAGGCCCACCAAGGCGACGAUGCGUAGCUGGUCUGAGAGGAUGAUCGGCCACACUGGAACUGAGACACGGUCCAGACUCCUACGGGAGGCAGCAGUGGGGAAUAUUGGGCAAUGGGCGAAAGCCUGAUCCAGCCAUGCCGCGUGGGUGAAGAAGGUCUUCGGAUCGUAAAGCCCUUUUAUUAGGAAAGAAAAGAAGCAGGUGAAACCACGGAUGUCUUGACGGUACCCAAAGAAUAAGCAACGGCUAACUUCGUG